This 253-nucleotide ribosomal RNA is filed under the name uncultured bacterium. Its description in RNAcentral is "partial 16S ribosomal RNA". It matches the Rfam family "Bacterial small subunit ribosomal RNA", at positions 524 to 776 of the family's 1533-position model. The record is from RNAcentral.
UACGUAGGGGGCUAGCGUUGUCCGGAAUCAUUGGGCGUAAAGCGCGUGUAGGCGGUCCGUUAAGUCCGCUGUGAAAGUCGGGGGCUCAACCCUCGAAUGCCGGUGGAUACUGUCGGGCUAGAGUGCGGAAGAGGCGAGUGGAAUUCCUGGUGUAGCGGUGAAAUGCGCAGAUAUCAGGAGGAACACCAAAUGCGAAGGCAGCUCGCUGGGCCGUUACUGACGCUGAGACGCGAAAGCGUGGGUAGCAAACAGG